CCCAGACUCAAUAUUCCUUAUCCCUCAGGGAUGUUCCUUCUUAAUGUUUCUGUUCUACUCUAAAUUUCAGUCAGUUUGCUUAGACCUGAAGCAUUGGUGCAUACCUGUGAUCCCAGCUCCCCAGGAGGGUGAGGCAUGAAGAUUGCUUGAGCCCAGGCAGACUAUCUAGUUACUACAGAAACGGAUCUUCCCAAGAAUCUCUUCUGUCUCCUACACCAGACAUCAGAAAACCAGAGCCUGUGAGCCAAAUCCAGCCCAACACCUGGUUUUGUAAAUAAAGUUUUAUUGGCACACAACCACACCCAUCUGUUUAUGCAUUGUCCAGGCUGUCUGGCACAACAGCUACAGAGGGAUGUUGUUAGAAGACUGAUUCAGAAAGCUAAAGACAUUCAGCACCUACACUUCUACAAAAAUGCUUGUCGAUCUAAUCCUCACAAAUUUAGGACUUUUCCUUAUUUUCCAGUGACCAUGAAGAGGGGCUAUCUUUGUCACAGAUUCAAUGUAUCUACAAUAAUACAGGAUUACCAACUGUUCAAAAUCAAGUUAUAAAUUCUUUGAGGUCUUUUACUGAGAUGUUAGAUUCCCUUCUUGCCUUUUUUUUUUUUCUUUUCCACAACCUUUGCUAGGAAAUGAGAGAUAGAGACUGACAAAAGAGAUAGGAGAUCCUUAUCCACAGAUCAAUAGACACCUGAUGUUUCACAAAGAUCUCAAAAAUACAUGUGAGAAGAAAGAUGGCACUGUAACCCUGGAUACUCACAUGUAGGAAAAUGAAGCCAGAGCCGUAUCUCUCACAAUGACUGAAAACUCAUUCCGAAUGUAUCAAAGACUUCAACAUGAGACCAUGAAGAAAAAUAUAAGGAUAUCCCUUCAAGACACGGGCCCAGGCAAGGACUUUCAUAGGAAGACCCAUCUUCUCAUGUAAUAAGGUUCGUUUUCCCAACUGACGAUGGGACUUCAUGGAAUUAAAAUGUUUCUGUAUAGCAAAAGAAAUAGCAAACCAAGUGAAAAGACAGCCUAUGGAGUGGGAGAAAAAUCUUUUCUAGCUAGUCACCUGACAAAAGCUGAAUAUCUAGAACAUGCAAAGAGCUCAAUAAGCCUGUCGACAAAUGGGUCAGUGGAAUGAACAGA
This 1128-nucleotide long non-coding RNA is filed under the name Cricetulus griseus (Chinese hamster). RNAcentral's name for it is "lncRNA (ENSCGRG00015036248.1)". Lineage: Eukaryota; Metazoa; Chordata; Mammalia; Rodentia; Cricetidae. The record is from RNAcentral.